Molecule: ribosomal RNA, 253 nt
Filed under: uncultured bacterium
Lineage: Bacteria
Description: partial 16S ribosomal RNA
Rfam family: Bacterial small subunit ribosomal RNA
Source: RNAcentral
UACGGGGGGUGCGAGCGUUGUCCGGAAUCACUGGGCGUAAAGGGCGCGUAGGUGGUUUGAUAAGGCUGUGGUGAAAGCCCGGGGCUCAACCCCGGGUCUGCCGUGGAGACUGUCAGACUGGAGGGCUCGAGAGGCAGACGGAAUUCCGGGUGUAGCGGUGGAAUGCGUAGAGAUCCGGAAGAAGACCGGUGGCGAAGGCGGUCUGCUGGCGAGUACCUGACACUGAUGCGCGACAGCGUGGGGAGCAAACAGG